GUGCUUGCUUCGGCAGCACAUACACUAAAACUGGAACGACAGAGAUUAGCAUGACCCCUGCGCAAGGAUGAUACACAAAUUCGUGAAGCGUUCUGUAUUUUU
Molecule: small nuclear RNA, 102 nt
Organism: Microtus ochrogaster (prairie vole)
Lineage: Eukaryota; Metazoa; Chordata; Mammalia; Rodentia; Cricetidae
Source: Ensembl